Molecule: long non-coding RNA, 2267 nt
Organism: Sapajus apella (tufted capuchin)
Lineage: Eukaryota; Metazoa; Chordata; Mammalia; Primates; Cebidae
Exons: 2
Source: RefSeq, a predicted model, not a curated record
CUCUGAGAAGCAUUUAUAACAGCUGGCAUGAUAUAUUUUUAGCUUUAGCUUCCUUCCCCUUUGGGGGAAACUUUUUUUAGUAUGGCACUGGCCUUCCUGAUACAUACUACAUUGUAAACAUGGCUCAGUGGUAUCUCAGAGGACUUGAUGUUGCCACCGGCUGAUCCUUCUCCUGUUUCCAAGAGUGCAGGGUUUUACAGGACUAUGAUUUUCCUCAUCAUGGCUAGUGUCUGUUUUCGAGGUCUUGGGGAAGAAUGAUCAGAAAAGUGCUGUAGUGAGCAAGAAGCCUGCUAGCUGAUCGUGUGUUGGAAAUCCCUCUGCCUGGAAAAAGGCAGAGACCUCCAUGGGCUGCGUGCACCUUGGGUCAUGAGGCUGUGCCCUCCAUCCCCCAUCCAGGAGGAUUUUUUUAGACUUCAAUGACAGUGAGGGUUAUUAAACACUAGAUGAGCUACAGAGGAAGACAGUUGUGUUCUCAUUCCCCACCAGACUUUAAAAAUAGGAUGGAUUCUGGCUGGAAUAAAUGGCUUAAGUUGUACUAGCCUGGAAGAGGGGAGGAGGAAAGGGGAGAUGAGCAGGAUGGCUUCUGUAAGACCCUUUUUGAGCCCUGUAGUCUUAUGAUUUCUAUUAUUUCACAAGAAUUAGAAUCAUAGACUAACUAUAGCUGUUCUACAAACAGACAAGAAAACUUUUAAAUUUGCAUUUACUGAUUUUUUUUUCUUUUAAGAUUUUCAGGGUAAACUCAGGUUACACUAAAGAAAGAUGUCUCAUGACUGUAGCUUACACAUAUCUUUGAUAUCUUUAAUUUCAAAAAAAUUAAACCCCCAAAUUUCAUGGUCUCGGGUUCCAAAGUGAGGGUAAAUCUUCGUGGCAUCAACUGUUGUCAAUCUACGGUAUAUUUUCUAACUCUUAAACACUAAAUCUCAUUCCUGCCAUCCCCCUUCCCCACCCCAGCUCUCAGCAUCCCCCAUCCCCACGCCAGCUCUCAACAUUCUAUUAGGUAAAAUACAUUCUCAGAAAAUCUCAGGUAUCAGUCAAUUAAGGGCAGGGUGUGGAGAUGGGGAAGCCAGGUGAGCAGGGGGCUCCCAAAUCUGGAAAAUGCUAUAAAGGGUUUUUGUGCGUUGGAGGAAGGCUAAAACUCCCAACAUACUCCAGGGUAGUCAUUCCUUGCUAAAAAUUUGGACCAUUUCCACCGACAAAUUCCAUGGCUAGAACUAGACAGUAAAGCCAAUGGCAGUACAGGGUUUGCUUUAGAGAUUUGUUUCACAGCCAGCCUUUCUGAGAGGCAUCCUUUUGGAAAAGCCCAGCAAAACCCAUAUGGAGCUAAAAGAUUUAUAAUGGAUUACUUUAUGCUUUAGUCUACUGCUUUGCACAGCAAGACAUUGCUAUUGCUAUAUAAAGAGAAUUAAUUAUAAGGCUGUGAAUGGUGUUUUAGAGAUUCAAGUUGGGGCAUAAACAAUGAGGCAGGCUUGAUCAAGAACAACUUUGAAGUCAGACAAGUUGGUUUUAAAGUCCAGUUUUUCCAACAGCUAGAUGCCUGGUUAUGGACAAGUUACCUGACCUCUAAGCCUCCUUUCCUCCUCCAUGCAAUGAAAAUAAAUUUCAGUAGAAGGCUUCUUAAUUGACUUGAUCCGGAUGCGUAGUUGAUGCAUUCAUUGCAAUAACUGUUUAAAGAAGGGAAUCAUAAGAAAUAAGACUUUAAAUGUAUAAUUUUAUCUUAAAACAUAAAUAUAUCCAUUUGCAGUCUUUCAUAUAGCAUGGAUAGCCUUUCCUCUGGGAAUAGAGUAUCUGACAGGUUACUGUAUGUCUUUCCUGCAUAAGUCUCACCCUUAAUGCAUCAUUGUCUUUGAUUUCUUUAAAAUGGAGCAGGAAUUUAAAGGCAUUUGCAAAAACAUCAGAGCACAGACUCUUUCUAGACUCUAGUUUUUCUUUUUACAAUUUAGCUUGUAGUUUUCUCACUCACACUGAAUUCAACAGUAGAUUUUUAAGCAAAAGUAAUGAAUAUUUCUAAAGCAUUUAACUACAUUUUUUUUUGCAGUUAACUUUAUAACUUGUAUAGAGCUUCCUGCUAUAUUCAACAUUAACUGCAUACUACGUGAAGAAGCUAAUAUGGUUUUGAUCCCCCUCAUUUUAAAAAGACUGUGAAAACCAGUAACUGCUACCUGAAGUGUGAAUGGAAGAUCUGUGGACAGGGGUAGGUGGGGGAAUUAUUUCUCAUUCUACUGUUUGAAGUAAGUACCAUGUUAAUGCCAUGUAUUACCUGUUAAAAA